AAGAGCUUGAAUCUGAUCAAAUUUGAUUGAAGCUAUACCGACUCGCGAUCUGAAUUGGAUCGAUGCACUUUUUAUUCAUAAUAGUUGUCUGUGUCUUUGUAAAGAAAAUUACUAAAAGAGCUUGCUGUUCUUCAGGAACAAAUGGAGCUGUGAAAGGGAUGCACGACAGAACAAAUCAACCUCCGGAGGAGCCUCACCGGAUCAAGUAUCUUUCGCUUGCAUCCAAAGCAUGAGAUGGAAUCCAGCGCACGCAUCAAUCAAGGCGACGGAGGAGGCACACGAGAUCCGCAGCUGCUGUCGGUGCGUAGUUGCCAUCGUCCCCUUGCGAAGUGAUUUGUGGAAGCCAUUCAUCGAAGUACUUACGCCAUAUGGUGUCGCUGACAUUGACAGAUGCAGCAGCAGCAUGCAAUUCCUGCGAUGGGUGCGCGCACAAUUAAGAGUCACGGAUGAGAACUGUUUGGGCCGACACUUGCAGAGAGACGAGGAAGAUUACUUACGUUUGGGAAGUUGUAAGGAGGCACUGAUGGCAACGUCAUAUCCUUUGGGAAAAAGGGGAUCUCCACAGGGUUUUGAUAUCUUCCAGCCUAUAGAACAUUGAUUUGCAAGUCAUUCACGUUGUAAUGUAGCAAAUAUUUGGAAUUAGAAACGAACAAAAGUUAAGAUCAGUAAAUAUCGUGCUUUAAAUGCACACAUUAACUUC
Non-coding RNA from Musa acuminata subsp. malaccensis (wild Malaysian banana), 700 nucleotides. The record is from RefSeq and is a predicted model, not a curated record. Lineage: Eukaryota; Viridiplantae; Streptophyta; Magnoliopsida; Zingiberales; Musaceae.